AGAAACAACAUUGACGGACGGAUUCUAAAAACGUGGAUUUAAUAAAGUGAUGCUGGUUCAGCCGCUAACUCAGUGAUGCAUCACAAUGAGACGGAUGUGGAUGUGAGUCCCUGAUGGCUCCGCUCCUUAUUUUGGGUCUCAGCAUUGGGGAAGAUUGGGAUUGAAGGGAAAGGAGAAGAUUCCAGAUGUUGCUUCGUCUCUCGUCAACGUCACGAACGACCGAAUCACAGCUGGAUUUCAUUCCCGUCCAGUUUCACUCACCGACGCGUCGCCUCUGCUUCGGGUCCAGAGGUUACUUCCCCGUCACGAUCGUGUCUCACCUCCUCAGCUCCGAGGGCAGUUCGAGCUCGUUGUAAGGGAUGUAACUGUCUCCCGGACCUGAAAUAUAGAAGCUCCUCACACAGAAAUCGUCUCCACUGCUCUCAGCGACUUCCCAUUCAACACGGAGCGCUUUGAUCUGACGGAGAACUCUGACAGAACCCCCUCUGGCUUGUUUGUGGCUCUUUGGGUCUCAAGCGUUGGAAAGGGAAUAACAUCGCCUUUUGGCGGAGGACACGACUUUCAUCAACUUCCAAAGUUUCCAGAGGCCGGGCCGGCUCUGAGUGCUGGAGGGAGACGUCUCACUCUGGGCGUGAGUUUGUCCUGUUUGACGUCCUGGAGAGCAGGACUUUAAAGAGCCUGGAACACCUUCGUGAAGACGGACAUGAGUGGUUCUCAGAGGGAGUUGGACAACGUGUCUCCAGCUUGUACCACCGUCCACAGAUGAAGACAAAAUAUCCUGGAUACGAAUGCCUCCAUUUUGCCUUUGGAAGCAGAAUCUGCGCUCGACCAAUCAGCAGUCACUAUGAGCCAAUUAUGACAUAAAGUCUGUUUAUAUCAUCAAAUAACGAAUUAAAACCAAACUCAUUUAGAAACUGUGUGUG
This is a non-coding RNA of Paralichthys olivaceus (Japanese flounder), 923 nucleotides long. Lineage: Eukaryota; Metazoa; Chordata; Actinopteri; Pleuronectiformes; Paralichthyidae. The record is from RefSeq and is a predicted model, not a curated record.